AAAAACUUAGGAUAUUUAAACCAAAAGCCUUYAAAGCUUUUAAAAAGGGUGUAAACCC
This 58-nucleotide transfer RNA is filed under the name Anolis brevirostris. Its description in RNAcentral is "partial tRNA-Trp". Lineage: Eukaryota; Metazoa; Chordata; Lepidosauria; Squamata; Anolidae. The record is from RNAcentral.